CAAUAGCGUAUAUUAAAGUUGUUGCAGUUAAAAAGCUCGUGGUUGGAUUUCUGGUGAGAUGGAUUAUGUCUAGGUCGAAAGAUCUUGUUCAUGGUUCGUUUUGCCCUUCUUGUCAGGAACCCGCUGAGAUUCGCGUCUUGUCGGUGGAAUGGCAUCGUUUACUGUGAAAAAAUUAGAGUGUUCAAAGCAGGCAUCGCCGUUGAAUACAUUAGCAUGGAAUAAUAAGAUAAGACUUUGGUGGUCUAUUUUGUUGGUUUGCACGCCAAAGUAAUGAUUAAUAGGGAUAGUUGGGGGUAUUUGUAUUCUAUUGCUAGAGGUGAAAUUCUUAAAUUUAUGGAAGACGAACUACUGCGAAAGCAUUUACCAAGGAUGUUUUCAUUAA
Molecule: ribosomal RNA, 382 nt
Filed under: uncultured eukaryote
Lineage: Eukaryota
Description: partial 18S ribosomal RNA
Rfam family: Eukaryotic small subunit ribosomal RNA
Source: RNAcentral